ACUGUGACAUCCCCAAAAUCACGGCCAGAAAAGACCGAUUACAUUUAUGCUUUUUAAAAUAAUUUCAGAGUAAAUCCUUUUGAUUUAAAAGUGUUGCGGAAUUUGUUCCCAAAAUAAAACAUGAUAAAAUAAUAUUUAUCAAAGCAUUUCAUCAAGAGAUGCAUUUCAUUAUAUAAUCAAAACUCGGGAUGUCAUGUUCAGAUACAUACCAUAAAGCAUAAACGAUAAACAUUACAAGUCAUUCAACAAAUAUAUACAUAUACAGACUUGUAAACAAAACAACAAGAUGAUCCAUCCAUCUUACGCCCUUGUGCCACUUCCUGUAAUACAAAUAAAACUGAGUGGGUCAGGCUUGGGAGCCUGGUGAGCAUAUAGGGUUUUCAACCCACAAUAAAUAAGUUAUAUUUAAUUUCACCAACCAAUCACUAUCCCGAUUACCCAUUCCCGUUAUCCUCACUUUACGUCCCUAAAACAACUAUCUCAAGGGACCUAAUCUAGGAUUUUCAUCGGGACGGACAUCACUGCGAAGGGGUUUCCUCAACAAUAGAUAUCCUAAAGGCAACCAUGAGGGGGAUAGAGUACACCGGUGAACACAUCGUUCACAACACCUACAGGUUAUGAACCUGCUAGCGUUCCACUGGACUGUCUAGAAAGAGUCCGUGGUCGUUAUCCAUACUCCGCUGAAUAACUAGAUCAACAACAACAACAACAUCGAGGCCUCUCAUCUGUUUAUUACACACCAACUAUCUACCCAUGUUCUACCCAACAUAUUAGUAGAUAAAAAUAUAUAUUUUCAUACGUAGUUUAAAGAAAACCUGUAUAGCAUGCUUUAAUCAACACAUAUGUCACAUAACAGAUGAGGCACACACACAUAACACAUAUCUCAUAAAGAAAUAAGCAGAUCUAUAAGAUAGAAGAGAGUGAAUACUCAUUCACACAUAACACAACCAAAUAUAUACACAUAGCACGUAUUUUUAUAUAAAAUACUUCGUAUUAUUGUAUUAGAAGAAAUAACUACACACUCACUUGAUCAGAAGACGAUCCGACAGCACUACGGCUUAUAGAAGUAGUAAUCCACAGCAGAUCUGGAAGAUCUCCUCGAAAAUCGAACUUCUCGCGGGCAGAGCUUCGACUCGGGAACCGCGCUUCUCGGGAUCUUCGGGAUCUCGGGACUUGCCUCGGGGCUAGAGUAUGAUACCGGGACUUCGGGGUAGCUUCGGGGGUUUUUGCACAGAGCUUCGACACGAAAACGAGAGGGAAUUGGCAAAAAUACCCGGAACCCUCGCAUCCUAUUUAUAGGAGGCUGGAGCCUCGGAGUACGCGGGGCGUACUGCGUUACGCGGGGCGUACUGCCCAAAACGUCAUUGCUUACGUAUCCGAAGUGCUCGAGUGCGAGUGUCGACAUCCCUCGGAGUACGCGGGGCGUACUCGAGUACGCGGGGCGUACCUCGGAUCAGAUCGGUGACUCCUUCGGAUAAUGCUUCCGAAUUUUGAUUUAAAUAUAAAUACAAAAUGAUUAAUAAACUUCGGAAAUUCAUAACUUCUUCAUACGAACUCCGUUUUCGACGUUCUUUAUAUCCACGGAAAGGUGAGACCACGCUCUACGACUUUCGUUUAGACUCCGUCGGCUAAUUUUGACUUUAUUUUUAUUAAUUAUUUUUAAUAGGCCGCGACAGAAACUUUCGUUAUAAAUUCAUAACUUCUUCGUUUGACGUCCGUUCUCGCCUAACUUUUUAUCGCUUCGAUACCAACAAUGAGAUCUUCGAUUCUCAUUUAGAUUGCUUCGGCUAACAACCGCUCGAUCUCAAAUCGAGUAAAACAGGCUGUAUACCGCUAAGCCGGAACUUCGAUAAAUCAUAACUUCCUCAUACGAAGUCAGAUUUGGGCGUUCUAUAUAUAUUCGGAAACCUCGUUUCAACUACUACAACAUUAACCAAAGAUAUUAAGUUUAUUUUACACUUAAAUUUUGACGCUUAUUUUUAUUCUUAAUUAAUCAAACCACAUAAUUAAGCAAUUAAGCACAAAACACAUAAUACUCAAAUAAUACAAUCUUAUUAUUUCAAAACGGGUUACAAAGGUUAACCUAGACUAUUACAUUGCUAAAAAUGGCAAGCCCGGAAACACAGGCGUUACAAUUCUCUCCACCUUAGAAUGAUUCCGUCCCCGGAAUCACACAUCAACAAACAAAUGCGGAUAGCGACUCAACAUGUCACUCUCCGUCUCCCAGGUGAGAUUCGGCCCAUUCGUGUGUUUCCAUCGGACAAGCACUAACCCAACCAUUUUGCGUCGCAACUUCUUAGUCUUUCGGUCAACAAUUGCCUCUGGUUCUUCAAUCAACCUUUUGUUCUCAUCAAUUCUCAAUUCAGAAAUUGGAAUUAUAUCGGGAACUUCUCCCGUGAACUUCCUCAAAUAACACACAUGAAAAGUGUUGUGAAUUCCAUUCAGUUCUUCGGGUAAUUCGAGCUUGUAAGCUUGGUUCCCAAUCCUCUGAAGAACUUUAAACGGUCCAAUAAACCUUGGACUCAACUUUCCCCUUUUACCAAAUCUUAUAAGUCCCUUCCACGGCGAGACUUUAAGCAAAACCGAAUCCCCAACCUCAAAAGUUAUCGGUCUCCGCUUCUUGUCAGCAUAGCUCUUUUGACGAUCCUGAGCUGCUAACAUUCUUUCCCUAAUUAUUUUCAACUUUUCAGCAGUUUGAUGAACCAACUCCGGUCCCAUAAACUGCUUUUCCCCAGCCUCAAGCCAACAAGACGGCGUACGACACUUCUGUCCAUACAAAGCUUGGUAAGGUGCCAUCUUAAUGCUCGAGUGGAAACUAUUAUUAUAGGAAAAUUCUACCAACGGUAAAUGUUCAUCCCAAUUACCUAGGAAUUCCAGAGUACAUGCUCUCAGCAUAUCUUCAAGUGUUUGUAUCGUUCGUUCGCUCUGACCAUCAGUCUGCGGAUGGUAAGCUGUACUUAAACACAACUUGGUACCCAAUUCCUCUUGUAGACUUUUCCAAAACCUCGAUGUGAAACGGCUAUCACGAUCCGACACAAUCGUUAACGGAACACCGUGAAGCCUCACAAUUUCCUUCACGUAAGAAUUCGCAAGCUUCUCCAUAGACCAUUUCUCCCUGGCCGCUAUGAAAUGCGCACUCUUAGUGAAUCGAUCAACGACCACCCAAAUCAUGUCGUGACCAUUCUUUGUUCUGGGCAGUUUAGUGACAAAAUCCAUAGCAAUGUCUUCCCACUUACCCAUAGGCACAGGCAAAGGUUCUAAACUCCCGUACGGUUUCUGAUGUUGUGUCUUGACUCUCGCACAAGUCACACACUCGGCCACAUACUUUGCAACAUCAAGCUUCAUCGUCGGCCACCAGUAGUAGGGUUUCAGGUCCCUAUACAUUUUAGUGCUACCCGGAUGAAUCGAGUACAUGGUCUUGUGAGCUUCUUCCAUCAGAAGAUCUCUGACUCCUCCUGUCUUAGGUAUCCAAAUCCGAUCUUGGAACACCUUCAGUCCAUGACUGUUUACACCGAACACCAACGUUUUGCCCAAACGUUCCUCCUUUCUGUCAUUCUUCUCAGAAGCUUCGCUCUGAGCUUUCUUUAUACUUUCCAAAAUAGUUGAGACAACUUCAAUUCUCAACGCUCUUGGCCUUUUCCUUUCGGGAUUGACUUUCCGACUGAGAGCAUCAGCAACAACAUUAGCUUUACCGGGGUGGUAAAGUAUCUCGCAGUCAUAGUCUUUAAGUAAUUCUAGCCAGCGUCGUUGCCUCAUAUUCAAUUCUUUCUGAUUAAAGAGGUAUUGGAGACUCUUAUGAUCAGUGAAAAGUUUGCACUUCGUGCCAUAGAGGUAAUGCCUCCAUAUUUUCAGAGCGAAAACUACCGCUGCCAACUCCAAAUCAUGAGUCGGGUAAUUCUUUUCAUGCUCUUUCAGCUGUCGAGACGCAUAUGCUAUCACCUUUUCUCUUUGGGUCAAAACACAACCCAAUCCAACACCAGACGCAUCGCUAUAGACAGCGAAGUCUUCAACUCCAUCGGGUAGAGAAAGUAUCGGUGCCUCGCAUAGCUUCUCCUUUAGCUUCUCAAAUGCUUCCUUAUGCUUCUCACCCCAAGCAUAAGUAGCUCCUUUGUGGGUCAAAGCUGACAAUGGACUAGCGAUCGAAGAAAAGCCUUGGAUAAACCUUCGGUAAUAUCCGGCUAAUCCUAAAAAGCUUCGAAUCUCCGUGGGACUUUUCGGUUGUUCCCACUUCGUCACAGCUUCGAUCUUCGCUGGAUCAACCAUUAUCCCUUCUUGGUUGACCACGUGACCCAAGAAUUGGACUUCACGAAUCCAAAAAUCACAUUUGGAGAACUUAGCAUACAGCUUCUCCUUCUUCAAAACUUCUAACACUUCUCGCAAGUGUCUGCCAUGCUCCUCCUGGCUUUUCGAGUAAAUCAGAAUGUCGUCUAUGAACACUAUCACGGAUUUAUCAAGGAACGGGUUACAAACCCUAUUCAUCAAAUCCAUGAACGCUGCUGGAGCAUUGGUUAGUCCAAACGACAUAACCAAGAACUCGUAGUGUCCAUAUCUAGUUCUGAAUGCAGUCUUCUCGAUAUCUUGCUCUCUUACUUUUAGCUGAUGAUAUCCUGACCUAAGAUCGAUCUUCGAGAAAUAGCUCGAACCUUGCAAUUGAUCAAACAGGUCAUCAAUCCUCGGCAACGGAUAUCUAUUCUUUAUUGUUGCCUUGUUCAGCUCUCUGUAAUCGAUGCACAUUCUCAUACUUCCAUCUUUCUUCUUUACAAAUAACACCGGAGCUCCCCAGGGCGAUGAACUAGGUCUAAUGAAACCGUUGUCCAAUAACUCCUGAAGUUGCAUCAUUAGCUCCUUCAUCUCCGUCGGUGCUAAUCGAUAAGGUGCUUUCGCAAUUGGCGUUGUUCCUGGCAACAAGUCAAUACGGAAUUCCACUUGUCGAUCAGGCGGUAAUCCAGGAAGAUCUUCGGGAAAUACUUCCGGAUAAUCACACACCACUGGAAUAUUCUGCAUCACCUUCUUUUCCUUCUUAGCAUCAAUCACGAAUGCUAAAUACGAUGUACACCCCUUGGUCAAACAUUUUCUGGCUUUCAUCAAUGAAAUGAUUCCAGAAUUCACUCUGCGUUUAUCUCCAUACACCAUAAACGAAUCUUUCCCAGGCGGGUUUACUUUGACUAUUUUCUUCUUGCAUAAAAUUUCGGCGUCGUUGGCGCUAAGCCAAUCCAUUCCCAAUACGAUGUCGAAACCAUUAAGUUCGAUAGGCAAUAAUUCCUCGUGGAACUUAUUCCCAUUCAGAUCAAUUAAGAUGUUUUUCAUGCGAUAGCUAACAGGUACAAACUUGCCACUAGCAACUUCGACUAAUAAAGCAUUAUCUAGUCUAACAACAGGCAAAGCUAGCUUUCUACCAAAUUCAUGCGAUAUAAAGGAGUAGUUGGCUCCAGAAUCAAAUAAAAUUUGGGCAGGCAAUUCGUUAACGAGAAAGGUACCUGAAGCGACAUCAGCUUCAUCUUUAGCAGCUUCCAGUGUCAUCUGGAAUGCUCUCGCCUUUGGCUUUGGCGGAAUGUUGGGUCUAGCUGCCUCCUUCUUCUUCGGGCAGUCCCUCGACAUAUGACCCUCCUCACCACAACCAUAGCAAACUUUCUUUGUGAGGGUACACUCAUUGGCAUAGUGCCCUGGCUUUCCACACUUGUAGCAUGUGUUCGCCACCUCACAUCUUCCAUGAUGCUUCUUCUUACAUUUGUCGCACCAUUUCGCUUCACCUCCACCUCCCCUCGAACCAGACUUCGAGAACUUGUUUUUCUUGUUGGACCCUGAAGUUCCAUCGAACUUCCUCUUUUCUCCAACAUCUAUUCUUUCCAGACCCUUUUCCUUCUGCUGGGCCUCCACAUUCUUAGCUGCACGAACAGCCGUUUUCAGAGUGGUUGCCAUUUUGACUGUCGGACCAAAGUCAGCAGGCAGUCCGUUAGCAAACCUCUCAAUCUUGGAGAGUUCCGUUGGCACUAGGUACGGAAACAACUUCAUCUUCUCAGUAAAUGCAGUAGCAUAGUCAUCUAUGCUCAUCUUCCCCUUCUUUAAGUUUUGAAACUCAUUGUUCAGAUCAAUCAGAUCUAUCUCCGAACAAUACUGCACCCUUAACUGUUCCAAGAACUCCUCCCAUGACAUUUUCAGGGCUUCUCCUCGUGGCAUAGUAUCUGCCAACAACUUCCACCAACUCAAGACUCCAGUCUUCAGUUGUCUAACCGCAAAGACGGUCUUCUGUUUGUUGCUACAGUCGCAACUUUCAAAUACCAUCUCCAUUUCGGAGAUCCAAUCCAUUAUCUCAACAGGCUUUGGGCUCCCAGAAAGACUUGGCGGUUUGGCGCCCAAGAAAUUCUUGUACAUACGCCCAUCCUUGUUGUUUCUCCUUUCUGGAUCGUUCCUUCGUUCCUCUUGAGUCCCAACUUGACUCACCAUGCGACUAUUGUUCCCUUCCUCCGAUUGCUCGGGAAUCAAUUCAGGUUCCUCAAUAGGUAUGACAGGUUCAUCCCUAUUAUUAUGCAACAUUUGUCGCAUCUCCUCCCUUUGUUCGGCUAGCAUAGCCCGAAUCAUGGCUUGCACCGCAGCCAUUGUUAUUGGUUCUGGUGCUGCUGCUACAACAGGUAUUUGCUCAAUCACUGGCGGUUGAUUCCUGUUUUCAUCUGCGUUUCCAACGCCACUCCUUGUUCUCACCAUUUUUGAUCUACACACCGAAUAAUUUCACCUUAUUACUCCAAACGAUUACAUGCUAGUUCUAAUAUCGUAUACAUACGCUUAGAAUCCUAAACACAUAAACCUUCAGAUCCGGUUGGCAACAAACCGUAGAUCCGAACAAAUAAUAUCAUAUAUGGCAACAUAUAACAUUUAGCACAUAAAAGCAUUUUAGGCAACUUUCCUAAAAUAAACUAGUGCUCGUGUCUAAAAUCCAACAGACACACAUCUCAAAAUUCCACUUAGCAUUCUAAGUUUAAGUCUAGAAAUCCUACAAAUUCCUAGUUCGCUUAAACUAAUGCUCUGAUACCAACUGUGACAUCCCCAAAAUCUCGGCCAGAAAAGACCGAUUUUCAUUUAUGCUUUUAAAUAUUUUCAGAGUAAAUCCUUUUGAUUUGAAAGAGUUGCGGAAUUUGUUCCCAAAACAAAACAUGAUAAAAUAAUAUUUAUCAAAGCAUUUCAUCAAGAGAUGCAUUUCAUUAUAUAAUCAAAACUCGGGAUGUCAUGUUCCGAUACAGACCAUAAAGCAUAAACGAUAAACAUUACAAGUCAUUCAACAAAUAUAUACAUAUACAGACUUGUAAACAAAACAACAAGAUGAUCCAUCCAUCUUACGCCCUUGUGCCACUUCCUGUAAUACAAAUAAAACUGAGUGGGUCAGGCUUGGGAGCCUGGUGAGCAUAUAGGGUUUUCAACCCACAAUAAAUAAGUUAUAUUUAAUUUCACCAACCAAUCACUAUCCCGAUUACCCAUUCCCGUUAUCCUCACUUUACGUCCCUAAAACAACUAUCUCAAGGGACCUAAUCUAGGAUUUUCAUCGGGACGGACAUCACUGCGAAGGGGUUUCCUCAACAAUAGAUAUCCUAAAGGCAACCAUGAGGGGGAUAGAGUACACCGGUGAACACAUCGUUCACAACACCUACAGGUUAUGAACCUGCUAGCGUUCCACUGGACUGUCUAGAAAGAGUCCGUGGUCGUUAUCCAUACUCCGCUGAAUAACUAGAUCAACAACAACAACAACAUCGAGGCCUCUCAUCUGUUUAUUACACACCAACUAUCUACCCAUGUUCUACCCAACAUAUUAGUAGAUAAGAAUAUAUUUUCAUACAUAGUUUAAAACCUAUAUAUCAUUUUCAUUCAAUAUAUAUAUUCCAUAUAACAGAUGAGGCAUACCACAUAACACGUAUUUCAUAGAAAGCAAUUCAGAUCUAUGAGAUGGAAUAAAGUGAAUAUCCAUUCACGCAUACAAUCACAAAAUAUACACAUAGCAAGUAUAUCGCAUAAAAUACUUCAUAGUUACUUGUUAGAAGAAAGUAACUGCACCCACACACAUAUAAACCACAAUUUACUUAAUACACUCAAACCGCACUUGUAUUAUUAUCGUGUUUAUGAAAGGUAGUAUACACUCACUUGAUCAGAAGAUGAUCGGACAGCACUACGACUUGCAGAAGUAGUAAUCCUCAGCAGAUCUGGAAGAUCUCUACAAAAAUCGAACUUCUCGCGGGCAGAGCUUCGACUCGGGAACCGCACUUCUCGGGAUCUUCGGGAUCUCGGGACUUGCUU
Molecule: long non-coding RNA, 8280 nt
Filed under: Lactuca sativa (garden lettuce)
Lineage: Eukaryota; Viridiplantae; Streptophyta; Magnoliopsida; Asterales; Asteraceae
Description: long non-coding RNA (LSAT_LNC001648)
Source: RNAcentral